AUUUUCACCUGGCAGGGGAGAUACCAUGAUCACGAAGGUGGUUUUCCCAGGGCGAGGCUUAUCCAUUGCACUCCGGAUGUGCUGACCCCUGCGAUUUCCCCAAAUGUGGGAAACUCGACUGCAUAAUUUGUGGUAGUGGGGGACUGCGUUCGCGCUUUCCCCUG
Small nuclear RNA from Bos taurus (domestic cattle), 164 nucleotides. Its record names the gene U1. It matches the Rfam family "U1 spliceosomal RNA". From Rfam's summary of the family: U1 is a small nuclear RNA (snRNA) component of the spliceosome (involved in pre-mRNA splicing). Its 5' end forms complementary base pairs with the 5' splice junction, thus defining the 5' donor site of an intron. There are significant differences in sequence and secondary structure between metazoan and yeast U1 snRNAs, the latter being much longer (568 nucleotides as compared to 164 nucleotides in human). Lineage: Eukaryota; Metazoa; Chordata; Mammalia; Artiodactyla; Bovidae. The record is from Ensembl.